GACGAACGCUGGCGGCGCGCCUAACACAUGCAAGUCGAACGAGCGAGAGAGAGCUUGCUUUCUCGAGCGAGUGGCGAACGGGUGAGUAACGCGUGAGGAACCUGCCUCAAAGAGGGGGACAACAGUUGGAAACGACUGCUAAUACCGCAUAAGCCCACGGUGCCGCAUGGCACAGAGGGAAAAGGAGCAAUCCGCUUUGAGAUGGCCCCGCGUCCGAUUAGCUAGUUGGUGAGGUAAUGGCCCACCAAGGCGACGAUCGGUAGCCGGACUGAGAGGUUGAACGGCCACAUUGGGACUGAGACACGGCCCAGACUCCUACGGGAGGCAGCAGUGGGGAAUAUUGCACAAUGGGGGAAACCCUGAUGCAGCGACGCCGCGUGGAGGAAGAAGGUCUUCGGAUUGUAAACUCCUGUUGUUGGGGAAGAUAAUGACGGUACCCAACAAGGAAGUGACGGCUAACUACGUG
This 466-nucleotide ribosomal RNA is filed under the name uncultured bacterium. Its description in RNAcentral is "partial 16S ribosomal RNA". It matches the Rfam family "Bacterial small subunit ribosomal RNA", at positions 28 to 507 of the family's 1533-position model. The record is from RNAcentral.